UAGGGAAUCUUCGGCAAUGGACGAAAGUCUGACCGAGCAACGCCGCGUGAGUGAAGAAGGUUUUCGGAUCGUAAAACUCUGUUGUUAGAGAAGAACAAGGACGUUAGUAACUGAACGUCCCCUGACGGUAUCUAACCAGAAAGCCACGGCUAACUACGUGCCAGCAGCCGCGGUAAUACGUAGGUGGCAAGCGUUGUCCGGAUUUAUUGGGCGUAAAGCGAGCGCAGGCGGUUUCUUAAGUCUGAUGUGAAAGCCCCCGGCUCAACCGGGGAGGGUCAUUGGAAACUGGGAGACUUGAGUGCAGAGGAGGAGAGUGGAAUUCCAUGUGUAGCGGUGAAAUGCGUAGAUAUAUGGAGGAACACCAGUGGCGAAGGCGGCUCUCUGGUCUGUAACUGACGCUGAGGCUCGAAAGCGUGGGGAGCAAACAGG
Molecule: ribosomal RNA, 429 nt
Filed under: Gemmatimonadota bacterium
Lineage: Bacteria; Pseudomonadati; Gemmatimonadota
Description: Gemmatimonadetes bacterium partial 16S ribosomal RNA
Rfam family: Bacterial small subunit ribosomal RNA
Source: RNAcentral